UCCACGCCGUAAACGAUGAUCACUAGAUGUGGGUCUUGUUUUGCAAGAUCCGUGUCGAAGCUAACGCGUUAAGUGAUCCGCCUGGGGAGUACGGUCGCAAGAUUAAAACUCAAAGGAAUUGACGGGGGUCCGCACAAGCGGUGGAACAUGUGGUUUAAUUCGACACUACGCGAGGAACC
RNAcentral lists this ribosomal RNA (179 nucleotides) under uncultured bacterium. RNAcentral describes it as "partial 16S ribosomal RNA". It matches the Rfam family "Bacterial small subunit ribosomal RNA", at positions 794 to 970 of the family's 1533-position model. The record is from RNAcentral.